AGGGUCCAAGCGUUAAUCGGAAUUACUGGGCGUAAAGCGUGCGCAGGCGGUUGUGCAAGACCGAUGUGAAAUCCCCGAGCUUAACUUGGGAAUUGCAUUGGUGACUGCACGGCUAGAGUGUGUCAGAGGGGGGUAGAAUUCCACGUGUAGCAGUGAAAUGCGUAGAGAUGUGGAGGAAUACCGAUGGCGAAGGCAGCCCCUGGGAUAACACUGACGCUCAUGCACGAAAGCGUGGGGAGCAAACAGGAUUAGAUACCCUGGUAGUCCACGCCCUAAACGAUGUCAACUAGUUGUUGGAGAUUCAUUUC
Molecule: ribosomal RNA, 308 nt
Filed under: uncultured bacterium
Lineage: Bacteria
Description: bacterial SSU rRNA
Rfam family: Bacterial small subunit ribosomal RNA
Source: RNAcentral